GGUNCUCGAGUGGCGAACGGGUGAGUAACACGUGGGUGAUCUGCCCUGCACUUUGGGAUAAGCCUGGGAAACUGGGUCUAAUACCGAAUAGGACCACGCGCUUCAUGGUGUGUGGUGGAAAGCUUUUGCGGUGUGGGAUGGGCCCGCGGCCUAUCAGCUUGUUGGUGGGGUAAUGGCCUACCAAGGCGACGACGGGUAGCCGGCCUGAGAGGGUGACCGGCCACACUGGGACUGAGAUACGGCCCAGACUCCUACGGGAGGCAGCAGUGGGGAAUAUUGCACAAUGGGCGCAAGCCUGAUGCAGCGACGCCGCGUGAGGGAUGACGGCCUUUCGGGUUGUAAACCUCUUUCAAUAGGGACGAAGCGCAAGUGACGGUACCUAUAGAAGAAGCACCGGCCAACUACGUGCCAGCAGCCGCGGUAAUACGUAGGGUGCGAGCGUUGUCCGGAAUUACUGGGCGUAAAGAGCUCGUAGGUGGUUUGUCGCGUUGUUCGUGAAAACUCACAGCUUAACUGUGGGCGUGCGGGCGAUACGGGCAGACUAGAGUACUGCAGGGGAGACUGGAAUUCCUGGUGUAGCGGUGGAAUGCGCAGAUAUCAGGAGGAACACCGGUGGCGAAGGCGGGUCUCUGGGCAGUAACUGACGCUGAGGAGCGAAAGCGUGGGGAGCGAACAGGAUUAGAUACCCUGGUAGUCCACGCCGUAAACGGUGGGUACUAGGUGUGGGUUCCUUCCUUGGGAUCCGUGCCGUAGCUAACGCAUUAAGUACCCCGCCUGGGGAGUACGGCCGCAAGGCUAAAACUCAAAGGAAUUGACGGGGGCCCGCACAAGCGGCGGAGCAUGUGGAUUAAUUCGAUGCAACGCGAAGAACCUUACCUGGGUUUGACAUGCACAGGACGCCGGCAGAGAUGUCGGUUCCCUUGUGGCCUGUGUGCAGGUGGUGCAUGGCUGUCGUCAGCUCGUGUCGUGAGAUGUUGGGUUAAGUCCCGCAACGAGCGCAACCCUUGUCCUAUGUUGCCAGCGGGUUAUGCCGGGGACUCGUAGGAGACUGCCGGGGUCAACUCGGAGGAAGGUGGGGGAUGACGUCAAGUCAUCAUGCCCCUUAUGUCCAGGGCUUCACACAUGCUACAAUGGCCGGUACAAAGGGCUGCGAUGCCGUGAGGUGGAGCGAAUCCUUUCAAAGCCGGUCUCAGUUCGGAUCGGGGUCUGCAACUCGACCCCGUGAAGUCGGAGUCGCUAGUAAUCGCAGAUCAGCAACGCUGCGGUGAAUACGUUCCCGGGCCUUGUACACACCGCCCGUCACGUCAUGAAAGUCGG
This 1317-nucleotide ribosomal RNA is filed under the name Mycobacterium sp. DWMJ-1430B1. RNAcentral describes it as "bacterial SSU rRNA". It matches the Rfam family "Bacterial small subunit ribosomal RNA", at positions 86 to 1414 of the family's 1533-position model. The record is from RNAcentral. Lineage: Bacteria; Bacillati; Actinomycetota; Actinomycetes; Mycobacteriales; Mycobacteriaceae.